GAAAUGCGAUAAGUAGUGUGAAUUGCAGAAUUCAGUGAAUCAUCGAAUCUUUGAACGCACGUUGCGCCCCUUGGUAUUCCAUGGGGCAUGUCUGUUCGAGCGUCAUCUACACCCUCAAGCUCUGCUUGGUGUUGGGCGUCUUUGUCCCGCCUCCGCGCGCGGACUCGCCCCAAAUUCAUUGGCAGCGGUCCUUGCCUCCUCUCGCGCAGCACAUUGCGCUUCUCGAGGUGUUGCGGCCCGCGUCCAGAAAGCAAUCGUUACCGUCUUUGACCUCGGAUCAGGUAGGGAUACCCGCUGAACUUAAGC
RNAcentral lists this unclassified non-coding RNA (306 nucleotides) under plant metagenome. Its description in RNAcentral is "partial contains 5.8S ribosomal RNA, internal transcribed spacer 2, and large subunit ribosomal RNA". The stretch from base 1 to 105 matches the Rfam family "5.8S ribosomal RNA", at positions 50 to 154 of the family's 154-position model. The record is from RNAcentral.